RNAcentral lists this ribosomal RNA (400 nucleotides) under uncultured bacterium. RNAcentral's name for it is "bacterial SSU rRNA". It matches the Rfam family "Bacterial small subunit ribosomal RNA", at positions 355 to 752 of the family's 1533-position model. The record is from RNAcentral.
UGAGGAAUAUUGGUCAAUGGAGGCAACUCUGAACCAGCCAUCCCGCGUGAAGGAUGAAUGCCCUAGUGGUUGUAAACUUCUUUUAUAUAGGAAUAACCGUAAGUACGUGUACUUACCUGAAGGUACUAUAUGAAUAAGCAUCGGCUAACUCCGUGCCAGCAGCCGCGGUAAUACGGAGGAUGCAAGCGUUAUCCGGAUUUAUUGGGUUUAAAGGGUCCGCAGGCGGAAAGAUAAGUCAGUGGUGAAAGCCCGUAGCUCAACUACGGAACUGCCAUUGAUACUGUUUUUCUUGAGUAUGGUUGCCGUUGGCGGAAUAUAACAUGUAGCGGUGAAAUGCUUAGAUAUGUUAUAGAACACCGAUUGCGAAGGCAGCUAACGAAACCAUUACUGACGCUCAGGG